UGGUCUCGCAGUUGGGAUGACUCUGUGCUUAAUAAACUUCGCUCAAAUGGAAAUAUUUGGGAUAAAAAUCUGUUCCAGCCGAAUGCAGUGAAUCCAAGCAUUUACCGGCGUAUCAAUGAUGACUUGUCUCAGUACCCAUCUCCUUACCACGUGACUAGAAGCAUGCUCCUGUCGCCUGGAGGUCUACAACAGUAUGAAUUCUACAGAGUCAAGUCUAACAUCUCUGAUGAAG
Anneissia japonica is the source of this 232-nucleotide long non-coding RNA. RefSeq lists it as uncharacterized. NCBI's taxonomy places the organism in Eukaryota, Metazoa, Echinodermata, Crinoidea, Comatulida, Comatulidae. The record is from RefSeq and is a predicted model, not a curated record. The transcript has 2 exons.